GUGAAAAAACAUUGCAAAACAGAUCAACGGUUAUCUUGACGAAAAAAACAAAAAAAAAAACGGUAAACGCGACAGUAUUACGAUAAGCAAAUUAUGCGCGCAAAUAGCUAAAGCAAAUAAUGACAAUUGACAAACAACUAAGUAAAAAUAAGAGCUGCAAUCGAUCGAUCGCAAUAAUCGAUACAAGUGACGUGAGUAAGCGGAGCGCGUAUUGAAAGAGAACGAAAGUGGCGCCGGCAGCGACAUUGUUAGGCAAUAUUUAUACAUGCCUGCAGAAAAAGUGUACUCGAAGUAAUAAGUAAACUACAAAUGAAUGCAUUUUAUUUUUUCCCCUACAAAUAAAGCUCUCGAAAUUCACCAAACACCAGCAGUAAUCAAAACAUCCCUAGAAAUCAAAAGAGAACAGCCGGAAUAUUUCAUCAAAGUUAGAACGUCAAAAGCCCCAAAAUCAUCAGCCAGACCACCACCACAACCAGCGUCGAAAAUCAACAAUAGCAACAACAAUUGACAAACAGGAACGACGUGAAGUGAAUGCAUUCAGUGCGAUUGGACAACGAAAAGAGAUAAGCCGACAUUGAGCAAAAAAGAGUGCCGUCGUCAACUUACACAGGUCAUAUCAAACAUACAAAAUUUUCAUCAUCACGUCAAGCGUCAAUUUGUGUGCUUCAGACCAGUUUUCCGCAACGCGAAGCUAAGCAUAUCAUUUGAUUGCCAUUGGAUUUGUCCUGCCCGCCGUCGUCCUUUGUCUGAACUUUAAAGCAUACCUAUUCACUCAUACUAGUGGUACGAGCCUAACAGUGUCAACAUAACUAGAGAAACUGUUUUUCGUCGAGCGAAAUUCGUUCAUAACUGACUGGCUUUUACGGCAACAACAACAACAACAAGGAAAUCCAGCAAUUUGUGAAGAUUCGUGGAGUGUUUUUGGCAAUCGCCAGAGACUAAUCUCUAUUAUAAUAUAUACCUAAACAAUACCGUAAUACUUUAUUAUAAGCAACAACAACGAAGCAUUGCACUGCACCAGUAGUAGCGGUGGUGAUCGAAUAAAGUACUCAGAGAAUAAAUUCCAGCGAAUGUGACAACAAUAAAAACAAUAUCAGCAGCGGCAGCAAAAUCAGCGGUCGAAAUAAUUCGAAAAUAGUCAUAAUUGUGUAAAGAAAAAGAUACACAAGUGUGUAUUUAUGUACAACACAGCCAGACGCCCCGCACUACACUGCCCAUCGCACAUUUUGGACCGUCGUUUAUUUGCUCGUUAGUACAUAAUUUACUCGUUGAGGUUUCCCGACGAACGUGUUUAUUAGCACAGCUGUAUCGCUGCAGGUAAUAAACGAAUCGUGAGAGAGAGAGAGAUAGGGAGAUUUGCUAUAGAGAGAGUGACACACAGACUAAAAAAAAAAACAAAAUUUAGUAAAUGAUCGAUUUUAUGAGAGCGUAUUACUCGGUAUGUUAAAUAAUACUAUAUAAGACAAAACUGGUUUCUGUUACAAGAGAAAGGAAAGCAUAAAAAUAGAAAGAAAAAAUAUCGCUUAACAACAACGAAAAACACGGUUGCUAUCUGUGUCCGCAUAUAGAAAAUUCUCUUCCAAACGGUUCAUCAAUUAUUUGAAAAGCAAAGCAAAGCUAUAAAAUUUUCUUUUGUUUUAAGUUGCUUGAUUUGGGUGCAAUUAUUUAGCGUAUUUUUUAACGCUCAAUAUAGAAAAAAGUAAGUGCCUGCAAAAAAGAAGAGCAAACGGCAAACAGAGAGCGAGGGAGUUGCAGAGAGAUCGUGAUUAAUUGAGUGUAAAAGGUCGGAGAGUGAUUGCGUCUCAG
Long non-coding RNA from Rhagoletis zephyria (snowberry fruit fly), 1806 nucleotides. RefSeq lists it as uncharacterized. Lineage: Eukaryota; Metazoa; Arthropoda; Insecta; Diptera; Tephritidae. The record is from RefSeq and is a predicted model, not a curated record.